This 235-nucleotide long non-coding RNA is filed under the name Elaeis guineensis (African oil palm). RNAcentral's name for it is "long non-coding RNA (EGUI_LNC028911)". The record is from RNAcentral. Lineage: Eukaryota; Viridiplantae; Streptophyta; Magnoliopsida; Arecales; Arecaceae.
AUGGUGCUACAAUCGACGUUAGCUGACUAGCCGAUUGAUGUUGUAUAUUUGCAUACUUUUGAUAUGGUUCACACAUUCGGAUGAGUUCAGCUACGUCUUUUUUCAUAUUUGGCUAAUAAUAUCCUUGUCGCAGAAUUUUAUAAGCUAGAGACUUGCCCCCCAAGUGAUUUCACAAAUCCCUUCGUGCACUUCUCUAAGUGCAUGUCGGCAUCUGUAGGUCCUAAAUACUUCAAUA